CAAAGCAAGGUUGUGAACAAUUGAAUAUGAUAUUUCAACAUAGUUGAAUUGUAUAAUUAAAUCUUAAUAUUAAAACCAACUUAAAAAAUUAAAAAUAACUUAUUUUAUUAAUUCUAUUGGGUAUUUAAAAAUUAUUUAAUAGACGGUUUUUUAUUUUUCUUAGUUUUAUUUUUUUUAAAUAUAUAUUUAAAAAUUAUAUUUUAUGCUGA
Molecule: long non-coding RNA, 209 nt
Filed under: Brassica rapa (field mustard)
Lineage: Eukaryota; Viridiplantae; Streptophyta; Magnoliopsida; Brassicales; Brassicaceae
Description: long non-coding RNA (BRAP_LNC007662)
Source: RNAcentral